Molecule: RNA transcript, 2589 nt
Organism: Pieris brassicae (large cabbage white)
Lineage: Eukaryota; Metazoa; Arthropoda; Insecta; Lepidoptera; Pieridae
Gene name: KH domain-containing, RNA-binding, signal transduction-associated protein 2-like
Exons: 11
Source: RefSeq, a predicted model, not a curated record
UAGAUCAGUUACGACGUCACGCCCACGUCCUGUGAAAAACCGCGUGUAUCGUAGUGCUUAUAAUUGUGUGACUAUUAGUGAAAUUUAUCUGAAACAGGUGUAAAUAAAUCCAAAGAUACUAAACCAGUGAAAAUAAUGAAGUAGUGUAGUGAUGAGUGCAUAAGGAUGGAGACGACAGCUUUGCCCCUGGAGGGGGAUGAUGAGGGAAGGCCCCAACAGGCUUCUUCCACAGGAAGUGGAGCAUCGUCAGGUGCUGGAUAUUAUGGACAUAAGAAUGGUGAAUGGCGUGGAGAACGAAGAAUGUUGGAUAUAACGAGGGACAAACCAGUUAAAGUCUGCGUUCGAGUGGUUGUACCUGUCAGGGAUCAUCCAAAGUUUAACUUCGUGGGAAAGUUGCUCGGUCCAAAAGGCAACUCUCUUAAACGUUUACAAGAAGACACGAUGUGCAAAAUGGCUGUACUGGGACGAGGAUCCAUGAAAGAUAGACAGAAGGAAGAAGAGCUGCGAAUGUCAGGAGAUCCCAAAUUCUCGCAUCUAUCAGAGGAGUUGCAUGUGGAGAUCAAUGCAUUCGCGACACCAGCAGAAGCCCACGCUCGUAUUGCGUACGCACUCGCUGAACUAAGAAGAUUUUUAGUACCGGAUUACAACGACGAUAUAAGACAGGAACAAAUGCUAGAAAUGCAAAUAUUGUCAUCACAGAAUGAACAGCGUAGACUGACGCCGCCCGAAUCUUCUAGAAGCAAUAGCGAAGAGACACUACCUAUACGAGAUACAGUAAAACAACGGUUACCACCAGUUGCACCAGUAACGCAGCCAGCGUUGGCUAGUGCCCCGAUUUUGCCUGUCAGCCACGCCCCCAGCGCACGCGAUUUUUCACCGCCAGCUCCCACACCUGCACCUGAACAUUUGCCUCACCACCAGAUGACAAGUCCAGCAAGUCAUGGCUUGUUGGUUGGAGGUGGUAUUUUGCAACAACCGCAAGCACACCAUUUAAUCACACAAAACUCUAUACUUGGUGCAGGAGACAUCCUGGGCCUAAGCAGCCCCGUUUUGGGUGGGGUGCUGCACACCCACCCCGCACUGCGAGGUGUCAAGCCAACAGCAGUGCACGCGCUGGCGACGCAAGGUCGGUGUUGGUUCGGGUGGAGCGAGCACCCGCAAACGGCCGCUGCUGGGAGGCGCGCGGAACACCAUCUCGCCGACUAAGCGAGCUGUCAUGUCGUUAUUGGCGCGCGCUAGGGCUGCCACGCACAAACACGAACACCCAGCUCUACUACCUCUGAUACGAGAAGAUUUCAUGACUGGAGUUGGAGUGAACAUCAACCUAGCGUAAUAUCUAGCCAGUUUUAUCACUAUUGUAAUAGUAUGCGCUAUGAAAUUCUUUCGUGAUGAACUCCCGCAACGGCUGUAUAAUUUAUGCAUACAUAAUACCAGCCAAUAAAAAUUUCAGCCCAGCGUGCUCCACUCUGAAGUGCACAAAUAUUUUUUUAUAUACGCCAAUUAUAUAUGAAGGAAGCCAUAAUAUCAAAAAAAAAUUGUCAUUUUUGUCAAGCACAGAUGGCUGACUGGUCGGUGAUCAGUUCUUAUUUAUGGUUAACGAGACUACAUACAACCUUUUACAGCAAAAACUUUAAUUUAUUAAAAUCUCCAAGCUCACCCAUGUUUUAAUAAGCAUUAAAAUACCUAAAAGUAAUCAUUGCUGUAUAGAUGUAUCUUUCAUAUUUUAACGUAAUAUUCUGAAAGAUUGUCAAAAGCUACUUUUUUAGUUAACAGACCUCUGUGUUUAAGCUGCUGUUUGUAGUUACUUUACAAACUUAAUAAUAUAGUAGUACAUAUUUAUUGUCGUACUCAGACUCGUCCAUUAACUUUCUAAUAGUAGAUUAAUUAUAUAAACAGUACAUAAAGUACGAAUUUAAUCUUAACUCAAUGUUUCAAGUGACGAUUAACUCUUAAUAGAGGACUCUGAGUACGGAUGUUAGUCUGUAAGUGGCUUUUACCCAUUUUAAGGCCUAAUUAGUGAAAAAGGACCACGUGUAUAUAAAACCCCUCGCCUUCUAGUCUGUACAUAUUUAGAAAUGUUUUAUCGUGUACAAUCAAUGUAAGUGUCAAAAAUAAAUUUAUGCGUAGUAAAAUAUCUUACAUUGAAGUACUAACUUAAUUAUUAGAAGCCGAAGUUGGAGUCUUUGAUUCUUCUACUGAAGUCGCCCUCGCAAACUUUUCAUAAUCUGUUCAAGUUGCGUGCCGAGACUAUAAAAUACUACUUUAAACUAUUGAUUACGUUUAUAAGUAGAAAUCCUGUAACGAUGCAAUGGUCAUAUUCAUAUCGGGACCCAUGUCCCGGUGGAUACAAAUUAUUUAUGGAUUUUGUAUGUCACUCACAAUUAAAAUGACGCUGGCAAGAAAUAAUGAAAACUCCCUUGAAACAAACUUCGUGGAAGACACUUUUGAUCUGUAUCGUUAAAAAAUAUUAACCAAUAAUAUUAAGAUUUUAUUAAUUUUAAUAUUUCGGGUUUUACGUAUUUAUAUAAUCUAAUCGAAAAUUUCAUCAGAGACAAAAUAUUCUUUAAGUACUUCAAUGUAAGUAUAAAA